Molecule: ribosomal RNA, 159 nt
Filed under: Lasiodiplodia pseudotheobromae
Lineage: Eukaryota; Fungi; Ascomycota; Dothideomycetes; Botryosphaeriales; Botryosphaeriaceae
Description: 5.8S ribosomal RNA
Rfam family: 5.8S ribosomal RNA (bases 1-106)
About the family: 5.8S ribosomal RNA (5.8S rRNA) is a component of the large subunit of the eukaryotic ribosome.
Source: RNAcentral
CGAAAUGCGAUAAGUAAUGUGAAUUGCAGAAUUCAGUGAAUCAUCGAAUCUUUGAACGCACAUUGCGCCCCUUGGUAUUCCGGGGGGCAUGCCUGUUCGAGCGUCAUUACAACCCUCAAGCUCUGCUUGGAAUUGGGCACCGUCCUCACUGCGGACGCG